RNAcentral lists this non-coding RNA (201 nucleotides) under Caldanaerobacter subterraneus subsp. tengcongensis. RNAcentral describes it as "Thermoanaerobacter tengcongensis T-box sequence". It matches the Rfam family "T-box leader". Rfam says of the family: Uncharged tRNA acts as the effector for transcription antitermination of genes in the T-box leader family. T-boxes are found upstream of many aminoacyl-tRNA synthetase genes and some amino acid biosynthetic genes usually in Gram-positive bacteria. The record is from RNAcentral. Lineage: Bacteria; Bacillati; Bacillota; Clostridia; Thermoanaerobacterales; Thermoanaerobacteraceae.
GAAAAUGCGAUGAACAGGAGAGUAGCAAUAGCAGGUAUACAGGGAGAAGAUACCGCGACUGAGAGUAUCUUUAUACUCAUGCUAUUGCGAAGGACACCUGGGAGCUGACUGGCCGACAAUGUAGGCUAGAUCCGUGAACCUGCGUUAAGGGAAUGAGUACCAAUCAGGGUGGCACCACGGGAUUAACCUCUCGUCCCUGCG